This 1816-nucleotide ribosomal RNA is filed under the name Dermacentor andersoni. RNAcentral describes it as "small subunit ribosomal RNA". It matches the Rfam family "Eukaryotic small subunit ribosomal RNA". The record is from RNAcentral. Lineage: Eukaryota; Metazoa; Arthropoda; Arachnida; Ixodida; Ixodidae.
UACCUGGUUGAUCCUGCCAGUAAUCAUAUGCUUGUCUCAAAGAUUAAGCCAUGCAUGUCUAAGUACAUGCCGAAAUAAGGCGAAACCGCGAAUGGCUCAUUAAAUCAGUUAUGGUUCCUUAGAUCGUUUCUUCCUACUUGGAUAACUGUGGCAAUUCUAGAGCUAAUACAUGCAGUGAGCCUGAAGCCCUUUGGGCGACGGGUGCUUUUAUUAGACCAAGAUCGAUCGGGUUUCGGCCCGUAUUGUGUGGUGACUCUGGAUAACUUUGUGCUGAUCGCAUGGCCACGAGCCGGCGACGUUUCUUUCAAGUGUCUGCCUUAUCAACUUUCGAUGGUAGGUUACUUGCUUACCAUGGUUGUUACGGGUAACGGAGAAUCAGGGUUCGAUUCCGGAGAGGGAGCCUGAGAAACGGCUACCACAUCCAAGGAAGGCAGCAGGCGCGCAAAUUACCCACUCCCGGCACGGGGAGGUAGUGACGAAAAAUAACAAUACGGGACUCUUUUGAGGCCCCGUAAUUGAAAUGAGUACACUCUAAAUCCUUUAACGAGGAUCAAUUGGAGGGCAAGUCUGGUGCCAGCAGCCGCGGUAAUUCCAGCUCCAAUAGCGUAUACUAAAGCUGCUGCGGUUAAAAAGCUCGUAGUUGGAUCUCAGUUCCAGACGAGUAGUGCAUCUACCCGAUGCGACGGCUCGGACUGAACAUCAUGCCGGUCCUUUCUUGGUGCACUUCAUUGUGUGCCUCGAGAAGGCCGGUGCUUUUACUUUGAAAAAAUUAGAUGUGCUCAACGCAGGCGAGUCGCCUGAAUAAACUUGCAUGGAAUAAUAGAACAAGACCUCGUUUCUGUUCUGUUGGUUUUUGGAAUACGAGGUAAUGAUUAAGAGGGACAGACGGGGGCAUUCGUAUUGCGGCGCUAGAGGUGAAAUUCUUGGACCGUCGCAAGACGAACUACUGCGAAAGCAUUUGCCAAGAAUGUUUUCUUUGAUCAAGAACGAAAGUCAGAGGUUCGAAGGCGAUCAGAUACCGCCCUAGUUCUGACCAUAAACGAUGCCAACCAGCGAUCCGCCUGAGUUACUCAAAUGACUCGGCGGGCAGCUUCCGGGAAACCAAAGUGUUUGGGUUCCGGGGGAAGUAUGGUUGCAAAGCUGAAACUUAAAGGAAUUGACGGAAGGGCACCACCAGGAGUGGAGCCUGCGGCUUAAUUUGACUCAACACGGGAAAACUUACCCGGCCCGGACACUGGGAGGAUUGACAGAUUGAGAGCUCUUUCUUGAUUCGGUGGAUGGUGGUGCAUGGCCGUUCUUAGUUGGUGGAGCGAUUUGUCUGGUUAAUUCCGAUAACGAACGAGACUCUAGCCUAUUAAAUAGGUGCGGGGUUCCCAGCACCUUACAACCUUCUUAGAGGGACAAGCGGCUCCUAGCCGCACGAAACAGAGCAAUAACAGGUCUGUGAUGCCCUUAGAUGUCCGGGGCCGCACGCGCGCUACACUGAAGGAAGCAGCGUGUCUUUAUCCCUGUCUGAAAGGACUGGGUAACCCGUGGAACUUCUUUCGUGAUUGGGAUAGGGGCUUGCAAUUGUUCCCCUUGAACGAGGAAUUCCCAGUAAGCGCGAGUCAUAAGCUCGCGUUGAUUACGUCCCUGCCCUUUGUACACACCGCCCGUCGCUACUACCGAUUGAAUGAUUUAGUGAGGUCUUCGGACCGAUGUCCGGCGCGGCCUUUCGGUUGCGCCGGUCUGUUGGAAAGAUGACCAAACUUGAUCAUUUAGAGGAAGUAAAAGUCGUAACAAGGUUUCCGUAGGUGAACCUGCGGAAGGAUCAUUA